AGUUUCAAAUCAAGCUUUCAUUACAGAAGAACAGUAUUUAGAACACCGAGUCAUAGUUGGUGUAGUUCUUUUUUGGGUGUGUUGGCAAAAUAGUCACUUUUUCAAACUUAAUUAGGAAAGUAGUGACUUUACUAUUCAUAAUUUGCAAAGUAGUCAUUUUUCACGGUUUGAUUCGUACACUUGGAUUGUACAUCACUUUUAGUGUGCAAAUGUAAAGUGUACGCUGUGUAUUUUUUAUAUACAUCUGUACACUAAAAAUAGUGUACAAACUAAGUGUACGAAUCAAACAGUGAAAAAUGACUAUUUUACAAAUUAUGAAUAGUAAAGUGACUACUUUUCCAAUUAAGUUUUAAAAAGUGACUAGUAUGCAACUUAACCCUUCUUUUUUAUAGUAGACUCAUCAAAUCAAAGAAACUUAAAAAAGAUUAAUGUUAGGCUUAA
Molecule: small RNA, 441 nt
Filed under: Arabidopsis thaliana (thale cress)
Lineage: Eukaryota; Viridiplantae; Streptophyta; Magnoliopsida; Brassicales; Brassicaceae
Description: ATSL133060
Source: RNAcentral